This 253-nucleotide ribosomal RNA is filed under the name uncultured bacterium. RNAcentral's name for it is "partial 16S ribosomal RNA". It matches the Rfam family "Bacterial small subunit ribosomal RNA", at positions 524 to 776 of the family's 1533-position model. The record is from RNAcentral.
UACGUAGGUGGCAAGCGUUGUCCGGAAUUAUUGGGCGUAAAGCGCGCGCAGGCGGUCCUUUAAGUCUGAUGUGAAAGCCCACGGCUCAACCGUGGCGGGUCAUUGGAAACUGGGGGGCUUGAGUGCAGAAGAGGAAAGCGGAAUUCCACGUGUAGCGGUGAAAUGCGUAGAGAUCCGGAGGAACACCGAAGGCGAAGGCAGUGUCCUGGGGAGUACCUGACGCUCAGGUGCGAAAGCCAGGGGAGCGAACGGG